GGCCCGGCGCCAAUGUGCCGCCGCUCCCAUCGGCAGAUAGCAUCAACGGCACGCGGGCCUGCUUUAUAAACAGGGGAAGGGGCCGGCGGGAUGAGAGAAGGGAAGAGAGCGAGGGAGAGAGUCGGAGAGAAUGGUGUUUGGGUUUUAGGGUUUCGGGCAUGGAUCGAUUGCGACGACGAGACCUAUGCCCUCGAACGAGAGGAUUUCUUCUUAAACUGCGGUUUGGAUGGGAUGCUGGGAACGAUCACUGCGUUCUACGUAAUCAUGGUUCACCAUACAAAGAUAGAAGAAAGCUUCCAUGUUACGGCGCGUCUUGAUUUCGGCAAUACAUGAUAUGCUUUACCACCACCAUCACAUUGAGAAUUACGACCAGUUGGAUUUUCCUGGUGUCGUUCCUCGCACUUUUGCGGGUAAAUUUUCUAUGCUUCUAGAAAUGCAGUAUUGCAUUUAUGGAGUAUAAUGUAGUUUGAGCAUGUUUAAAAACAGUUCUUUAAUGGAGUUUUCUUUUAUUUUUCUUACAAUGUUUGGGGCACAAACCUUUAUUUGUUUGUGCGGUGCUUUUGUAUGUUAACAUUAGUGGUAGUUCUUUAAUGUGGUUAUAUUAUGAUGAUAUUACAAUGUGGAAUUGCAAAAGGAUUUUGAUGUGAAUAUUUGGCGGGCUAAGUUUAUUGUUUAG
This is a long non-coding RNA of Elaeis guineensis (African oil palm), 676 nucleotides long. RefSeq lists it as uncharacterized. The record is from RefSeq and is a predicted model, not a curated record. Lineage: Eukaryota; Viridiplantae; Streptophyta; Magnoliopsida; Arecales; Arecaceae.